RNAcentral lists this ribosomal RNA (722 nucleotides) under uncultured bacterium. RNAcentral describes it as "bacterial SSU rRNA". It matches the Rfam family "Bacterial small subunit ribosomal RNA", at positions 66 to 799 of the family's 1533-position model. The record is from RNAcentral.
ACGAUUAAAGCUCCCUUCGGGGAGUGCAUAAAGUGGCGCACGGGUGAGUAACACGUAAGUAAUCUACCCUCGAGUGGGGAAUAACAGUCGGAAACGACUGCUAAUACCGCAUAAUGCAGCGGCACCUUAUGGUGACGGUUGUUAAAGGAGCAAUCCGCUUGAGGAGGAGCUUGCGGCAGAUUAGCUUGUUGGUAAGGUAACGGCUUACCAAGGCUACGAUCUGUAUCCGGCCUGAGAGGGCGGUCGGACACACUGACACUGAAUAACGGGUCAGACUCCUACGGGAGGCAGCAGUCGGGAAUUUUGGGCAAUGGGCGAAAGCCUGACCCAGCAACGCCGCGUGAAGGAUGAAGUAUUUCGGUAUGUAAACUUCGAAAGAAUGGGAAGAAUAAAUGACGGUACCAUUUAUAAGCUCCGGCUAACUACGUGCCAGCAGCCGCGGUAAUACGUAGGGAGCAAGCGUUGUUCGGAUUUACUGGGCGUAAAGGGCGCGUAGGCGGCGUGUUAAGUCAGCUGUGAAAUCUCUGAGCUCAACUCGGAACGGCCAGCUGAUACUGAUGUGCUAGAGUGCAGAAGGGGCAACCGGAAUUCUUGGUGUAGCGGUGAAAUGCGUAGAUAUCAAGAGGAACACCUGAGGCGAAUGCGGGUUGCUGGGCUGACACUGACGCUGAGGCGCGAAAGGCCAGGGGAGCAAACGGGAUUAGAUACCCCGGUAGUCCUGG